This 331-nucleotide long non-coding RNA is filed under the name Calidris pugnax (ruff). RNAcentral's name for it is "lncRNA (ENSCPUG00000017673.1)". Lineage: Eukaryota; Metazoa; Chordata; Aves; Charadriiformes; Scolopacidae. The record is from RNAcentral.
UUGGGACCUUCUGGGGACCUUCUGGGAUCUUCUGGGACCUCUUGGAACCUCUCAGGAACCUUCUGGGGAUCUUCUGGGAUCUUCUGGGCACCUUCUGGGACCUUCUGGGACCUCUUGGGAACCUUCUGGGCACCUUCUGGGACCUUCUGGGGAUCUUCUUGGGACCUUUGGGGACCUUCUGGGACCUUUGGGGAUCUUCUGGGACCUCUUGGAACCUCUCAGGAACCUUCUGGGGAUCUUCUGGGACCUUCUGGGGACCUUCUGGGACCUUUGGGGAUCUUCUGGGAUCUUCUGGAACCUCUUGGGAACCUUCUGGGGAUCUUCUGGGACC